UAAAUACUCCCUCCGUUCGGAAUUACUUGUCGCGAAAAUGGAUGUAUCUAGACGUAUUUUAGUUCUAGUUACAUCCAUUUCCGAGACAAGUAAUUCCGAACGGAGGGAGUAUAUG
This is a non-coding RNA of Triticum aestivum (bread wheat), 115 nucleotides long. NCBI's taxonomy places the organism in Eukaryota, Viridiplantae, Streptophyta, Magnoliopsida, Poales, Poaceae. The record is from Rfam.